UACGGAGGGUGCAAGCGUUAUCCGGAUUUACUGGGUUUAAAGGGUGCGUAGGUGGGUCUGUAAGUCAGUGGUGAAAUCUCCGAGCUUAACUCGGAAACUGCCAUUGAUACUAUGUUUCUUGAAUCUUCCGGAGGUCAGCGGAAUAUGUCAUGUAGCGGUGAAAUGCUUAGAUAUGACAUAGAACACCAAUUGCGAAGGCAGCUGACUACAGGGGCAUUGACACUGAGGCACGAAAGCGUGGGGAUCAAACAGG
This 253-nucleotide ribosomal RNA is filed under the name uncultured bacterium. Its description in RNAcentral is "partial 16S ribosomal RNA". It matches the Rfam family "Bacterial small subunit ribosomal RNA", at positions 524 to 776 of the family's 1533-position model. The record is from RNAcentral.